UACGGAGGAUGCAAGCGUUAUCCGGAAUUAUUGGGCGUAAAGCGUCCGUAGGUGGCUAAUCAAGUCUUUUGUCAAAGCGUGCGGCUUAACCGCAUAUGGGCAGGAGAAACUGAUGAGCUAGAGUGCGAUAGGGGUCACAGGAAUUCCCAGUGUAGCGGUGAAAUGCGUAGAUAUUGGGAAGAACACCAGCGGCGAAAGCGUGUGACUGGGUCUGCACUGACACUGAGGGACGAAAGCUAGGGGAGCGAAAGGG
This 253-nucleotide ribosomal RNA is filed under the name uncultured prokaryote. RNAcentral describes it as "partial 16S ribosomal RNA". It matches the Rfam family "Bacterial small subunit ribosomal RNA", at positions 524 to 776 of the family's 1533-position model. The record is from RNAcentral.